RNAcentral lists this ribosomal RNA (911 nucleotides) under Salmonella enterica subsp. enterica serovar Johannesburg. RNAcentral's name for it is "partial 23S ribosomal RNA". It matches the Rfam family "Bacterial large subunit ribosomal RNA", at positions 2032 to 2925 of the family's 2925-position model. Lineage: Bacteria; Pseudomonadati; Pseudomonadota; Gammaproteobacteria; Enterobacterales; Enterobacteriaceae. The record is from RNAcentral.
CUCAGUGAAAUUGAACUCGCUGUGAAGAUGCAGUGUACCCGCGGCAAGACGGAAAGACCCCGUGAACCUUUACUAUAGCUUGACACUGAACAUUGAGCCUUGAUGUGUAGGAUAGGUGGGAGGCUUUGAAGUGUGGACGCCAGUCUGCAUGGAGCCGGCCUUGAAAUACCACCCUUUAAUGUUUGAUGUUCUAACGUGGACCCGUGAUCCGGGUUGCGGACAGUGUCUGGUGGGUAGUUUGACUGGGGCGGUCUCCUCCUAAAGAGUAACGGAGGAGCACGAAGGUUGGCUAAUCCUGGUCGGACAUCAGGAGGUUAGUGCAAUGGCAUAAGCCAGCUUGACUGCGAGCGUGACGGCGCGAGCAGGUGCGAAAGCAGGUCAUAGUGAUCCGGUGGUUCUGAAUGGAAGGGCCAUCGCUCAACGGAUAAAAGGUACUCCGGGGAUAACAGGCUGAUACCGCCCAAGAGUUCAUAUCGACGGCGGUGUUUGGCACCUCGAUGUCGGCUCAUCACAUCCUGGGGCUGAAGUAGGUCCCAAGGGUAUGGCUGUUCGCCAUUUAAAGUGGUACGCGAGCUGGGUUUAGAACGUCGUGAGACAGUUCGGUCCCUAUCUGCCGUGGGCGCUGGAGAACUGAGGGGGGCUGCUCCUAGUACGAGAGGACCGGAGUGGACGCAUCACUGGUGUUCGGGUUGUCAUGCCAAUGGCACUGCCCGGUAGCUAAAUGCGGAAGAGAUAAGUGCUGAAAGCAUCUAAGCACGAAACUUGCCCCGAGAUGAGUUCUCCCUGAGACUUAGAGUCUCCUGAAGGAACGUUGAAGACGACGACGUUGAUAGGCCGGGUGUGUAAGCGCAGCGAUGCGUUGAGCUAACCGGUACUAAUGAACCGUGAGGCUUAACCUUACAACGCCGAAG